AUUCCAGUCCGGGCCCCUCUGGCCGAUGCGUCCCGCCGUGGCGCAUCGGUGAUGUCGGACUGCUCAU
Azospirillum brasilense is the source of this 67-nucleotide non-coding RNA. The record is from Rfam. Lineage: Bacteria; Pseudomonadati; Pseudomonadota; Alphaproteobacteria; Rhodospirillales; Azospirillaceae.